UGGUGCUGUAGUGGAUAUUUUUUCAUGUAAUUUGUAAUAUAAUUAUGUUUUUGGUAUUUUCUUUAAAUUAAAUUUAAUUGUUAAUAAUAGUAUGUAUUAUUGUAUCAUAUAAUUUUGUAAACUUGUGAUUUGUAAAUUGAUUCAUUGUAAAUGUUUUGAGGAAAGUCAUUUGUUUUGGUGUGAGGUUUGAGGUGGGAGAAAGGAGUGGGGGGGGGGGUGUUUAAUUCUCCUGUAAUUGGAAGUUUUUUUAAUGUUAAUCAUUUAAAUUAUUAUGGCUUUAAAGUAAAUUUUUUGUGAUGUAUAUAUUAAUGACAUAGAAUGUAAAAAUUAAUUUAUAUGUUUGGGUCAUGUUAAUGUGAUAAGUUUUAUUUUUGUUUUACGUGUAAUGUAUGGGUUUC
RNAcentral lists this long non-coding RNA (398 nucleotides) under Mytilus galloprovincialis (Mediterranean mussel). The record is from RNAcentral. Lineage: Eukaryota; Metazoa; Mollusca; Bivalvia; Mytilida; Mytilidae.